Molecule: ribosomal RNA, 328 nt
Filed under: uncultured eukaryote
Lineage: Eukaryota
Description: partial 18S ribosomal RNA
Rfam family: Eukaryotic small subunit ribosomal RNA
Source: RNAcentral
CCCUUAGAUGUUCUGGGCCGCACGCGCGCUACACUACGAUGGCAACGAGUUUUUCCUUCGCCGAAAGGUGUGGGUAAUCUUUUGAAACAUCGUCGUGCUGGGGAUAGAUCAUUGCAAUUUUUGAUCUUGAACGAGGAAUUCCUAGUAAGCGCGAGUCAUCAGCUCGCGUUGAUUACGUCCCUGCCCUUUGUACACACCGCCCGUCGCUACUACCGAUUGAAUGGUUUAGUGAGGACUCCUGAUUGGCGCCGCCGCCCCGGCAACGGAGCAGCGGACUGCCGAAAAGUUGUUCAAACUUGAUCAUUUAGAGGAAGUAAAAGUCGUAACA